Callorhinchus milii (elephant shark) is the source of this 272-nucleotide non-coding RNA. NCBI's taxonomy places the organism in Eukaryota, Metazoa, Chordata, Chondrichthyes, Chimaeriformes, Callorhinchidae. The record is from Ensembl.
GGUCGGUGAUGAUAAGUAAAAGGUCUGAUUGCUCCAGGGCACGUUCCCAGCACCUUCGCUCCCAGAAGCCCCCGUGCAUUUCCCAUGCUGCUCUAGCUGUGCUGCGAUGGCAACCGGGGGACUUCUGACAAUAACUGAUGCAGCUGCUUCAGUCCAUGUUUCAGAGAGAGAUUUGGAUCACGUUCACAGCGGCAUCUGACAAGAGCUGUCACUCGGGGCACCGGGUGCUGAGGGCAACUCUGGUGCAUGACUGCAAACCACAAGCUGAGACC